RNAcentral lists this ribosomal RNA (429 nucleotides) under Bacteroidota bacterium. Its description in RNAcentral is "Bacteroidetes bacterium partial 16S ribosomal RNA". It matches the Rfam family "Bacterial small subunit ribosomal RNA", at positions 355 to 776 of the family's 1533-position model. The record is from RNAcentral. Lineage: Bacteria; Pseudomonadati; Bacteroidota.
UAGGGAAUCUUCGGCAAUGGGGGGAACCCUGACCGAGCAACGCCGCGUGAGUGAAGAAGGUUUUCGGAUCGUAAAGCUCUGUUGUUAAGGAAGAACGAGUGUGAGAAUGGAAAGUUCAUACUGUGACGGUACUUAACCAGAAAGGGACGGCUAACUACGUGCCAGCAGCCGCGGUAAUACGUAGGUCCCGAGCGUUGUCCGGAUUUAUUGGGCGUAAAGCGUGCGCAGGCGGUUAGAUAAGUCUGAAGUUAAAGGCAGUGGCUCAACCAUUGUAGGCUUUGGAAACUGUUUAACUUGAGUGCAGAAGGGGAGAGUGGAAUUCCAUGUGUAGCGGUGAAAUGCGUAGAUAUAUGGAGGAACACCGGUGGCGAAAGCGGCUCUCUGGUCUGUAACUGACGCUGAGGCUCGAAAGCGUGGGGAGCGAACAGG